RNAcentral lists this ribosomal RNA (401 nucleotides) under uncultured bacterium. Its description in RNAcentral is "bacterial SSU rRNA". It matches the Rfam family "Bacterial small subunit ribosomal RNA", at positions 359 to 776 of the family's 1533-position model. The record is from RNAcentral.
GAAUAUUGGACAAUGGGCGAAAGCCUGAUCCAGCAAUGCCGCGUGAGUGAUGAAGGCCUUAGGGUUGUAAAGCUCUUUCGGCGGGGACGAUGAUGACGGUACCCGCAGAAGAAGCCCCGGCUUACUCCGUGCACGCAGCCGCGGUAAUACGGAGGGGGCUAGCGUUGUUCGGAAUUACUGGGCGUAAAGGGCGCGCAGGCGGCUGCUCAAGUCAGGCGUGAAAGGCCUGGGCUCAACCCGGGAAUUGCGCUUGAGACUGAGCUGGCUUGAGUGCGGGAGAGGAUGGUGGAAUUCCCAGUGUAGAGGUGAAAUUCGUAGAUAUUGGGAAGAACACCGGUGGCGAAGGCGGCCAUCUGGACCGUAACUGACGCUGAGGCGCGAAAGCGUGGGGAGCAAACAGG